GGAAGUAAGAGUCGUAACAAGGUUUCCGUAGGUGAACCUGCGGAAGGAUCAUUAAUGAGUUGUCAUGGGGUUCGAUGCUGGCAGCCAGUUUUUGGAUGCAUGUGCUUGCCCUAACAAUCAUCUUCUUCCAAACACCUGUGCACAUUUUUGAGGGAGUCUUGAGUUGGUUGCCGCUCUUGGGUGACUUUCUCACAUUCCCUUAAAUCAUUAUACGCUAUUAACAAUGUUGAACGUGCUCUGUGCCGCAAGGCCAUUAAUAUAAUACAACUUUUAACAACGGAUCUCUUGGCUCUC
This 294-nucleotide unclassified non-coding RNA is filed under the name plant metagenome. RNAcentral's name for it is "partial contains small subunit ribosomal RNA, internal transcribed spacer 1, and 5.8S ribosomal RNA". The stretch from base 1 to 54 matches the Rfam family "Eukaryotic small subunit ribosomal RNA", at positions 1778 to 1831 of the family's 1831-position model. The record is from RNAcentral.